Molecule: long non-coding RNA, 1656 nt
Organism: Arachis duranensis
Lineage: Eukaryota; Viridiplantae; Streptophyta; Magnoliopsida; Fabales; Fabaceae
Exons: 8
Source: RefSeq, a predicted model, not a curated record
GAUAUCGGGGAACACGUCACCUACAAAAUUCAAUAAAACACUCGAAGAGAGAGAACUGAAGAGUGAGAACUCACCGAAACCCUAAGCUCGCGAUAGAUAUCUCCACUGCCAUCUCCGUAGCUGCCAUCGCCGCCAUCAACGCUGCUAGAGUUCAUCUCCUUUCUACUUCUACCAUAAUGCUGCUGAGAUCGAGCCAAGAUGCCUCAUUCAUCAACACAUUUGCAUAUGUAAUUGCAACACCCAAACCUUUGAGAUCGAGAGAAAGUGCCUCUUCGGUCAACUCUCCUCUGCCAGUGAUGCUCGUGUUCUCCAUCGGCAUCCUAUCCCUUCUGUACACUCUUCUUUCCACUCAUUCUCAACUUCUGAUUCCUCAGAGCAAGAAAAUUUGAUAUCGAGAAGACAAAGCUAAUGUGUGCUAGCAUGCUCAAGUGCAGGAAGAAAUUUGGUUCAGACACUAUUGUAGAGGUACUUGGAUCUUGUUUGUGGUGAACCAAGAAUCAAAGGAACCUUUGAUGUGUAUGGCAACAGUACCUUCUUUGUAACUGCAUGGUGUUAGUGUUUGAUAUUAUGCUACCAAUUCAAUUCUAAAUAAAUCUAUAUUCAAAUGUGACUACUUAUUAGAUUUCACAAUUAAAUCGGCAGUGGCUUUUAUGUUGCACCUGAGUAGAAAUAUAUACAAUUUUCCUAACCCCUCUGUUUUGCUGUUUGUUUCUUUCUUCAAUCUUAUGUGUUCAAUCAUUUAGUAUAACAAUAAUAUUUGAAACAAAUGUGAACUGAAGAUGUUAUCCUCCAAGAUUCAAGGAACGAUUUUCAGAGUUAUAGUUCAAAAUGAUGAACAAGUUGAGGUUUCGUUUACAAGAAUGUGGGAUCUUUCUCUUGAGAAAACGUUUAUCCCCUUAAACAUUGACAGAAGAUUCAUACUUCUCCGAGGUUCAUGAUGUUUCUACUCUUAUGGAAUUUAUGAGCACUUAAGAAGAUGGCCAGACUUUGAUCUCAGUGAAACAAGGAUCACUUUCAAGCUUAGAAAACACAUGAAUUAGCUCCCUCAGUUAAAACUUUUGGUGAACCUGGCUUUCCACCGGCGGGAACACACGUCUUCUACUUCCCUCAAGGACACAGUGAGCAGGUCGCAAUGUCUUUGAAGAAAGAUGUGGAUGGACAGAUUUCUAACUAUCCCAAUCUUCCAUCCAAGUUGUUGUGUCUUUUUCACAGUGUUACUUUGCAUGUAGAGUGAGUCACAUGGGGUGGGGUAGCAAUGAAGACUUGAAUGAAAAUUUUUACAAAAUUUUAUCAAAGUGAACUGGAGUUACCAUUUCUAGCACUUCUCUUUGUCAUCCUUUCCCCUUAUGAGGUCAUGAGAUUUAGGGACACAAAAGAAGAUGCUAUCAUUUCAUUAUUGAUUGCAGUGUAUUUGACUUACCGGCAUUUUUCAAGAACAAGUUUAUAGAAAUUACUUGAUCAAGGUUCAAUUGUUGCCACCAUAACUAUUGUUUGUAUCACUAUUGCAUCUUUGUUGCUUCUGAUCUGAGUUGCUUUAGAAUGAUGUAUACUCAUAAUAUGUUGUACAUAAUAAUUUCUGGCAGUGGUGAUCAUUGUGUAAUAUAUCAUAUCUGGAUUUUAUACUUUUUUUCACUAAUUAUUGCUUAUUCAAAUAAA